GUCACAAUCAUGAGUUAGUCAAUUAUUCAGUUUAUCAAUUCAACUUUAUUUGUUUAGCACCUUUCACACAGAUGACAAAACUAAACAAGCAAAGAGAAAAAACUAUGCUAAAACUAUGAUUAAAACUCAGAAACAUUUUUAAAAAAUAAUAAUAAUAAUAAAGUAUGUGUCCAGGGGAUGGAGGGAGUUUAUUGAAGUCUUCUUGGGCUCACAUGGUAAAUCAUUUAAAAUAUAAACUUGAUAUUCAGUCUAAGGAAACUGGAAACUGCAGAGCGACAGAAGAACCAACAAUAUCUCCUGUUUUCUCCUUUAAUGAGUCGACUCUUCUUGUGCUUUCAGACAAAAGAACUACAGACUCUUCACAACCUGCUCAAACUCUUGGUACAGGACCUCACCACACGGGUCAAGAAGGUUGCUUUGUAGAACUGUUCCAGAAAACCUCACUAAACCACAUGGAGGGGCCUCAAGAUAGUCGUCCAAAUGAAACCGUACAAAAACCAAACUAGCACAAGCCAAACGCUAAAGUCUCCUGCAGCCUACCAGAGAACCUCUGAGAACAGAGAAUCAGGACAGGAACUCUUACCUUCUGGACAACCAACGUUGGUUCAUAAACAAGAAUACAGAAUGUGUCUGACCAAAAACCUCUGAAGACUCACUACAGCCAAGAUAAAGACACAACUCAGCUGCACCAAAUCCACUAAUCACUGCACACAUUAGCACCAUGUGCUAACUGUGGCUAAAGAACCACAUUUACCAAGACAACUAUCCAGUACAAAGCCCUAAAACACACCAAGAAACACAUUAAAGACGAUUUUACUGCUGGAAGCUGCAAGCCAACGCCUAAAGAACAAACUGAAGCAAUGGAGCCAAACACAGCUCAGUGGUGAAGAGAAGCAGAGGAAAUGUUUGGCUGCAGCUAAAUAAAGCAGGAAGAGACUGAGCUGCUCAGGUGUUCCUGAUAACGCCUAGCAGCCACCUGGACAGCCAAUAGGAACACAGCUUACUGGAAGUCCAGAGGGCUGGGUUAGUGAAGUAAAUUUAGUUUAAAAUUGAGGCAGAAAGUUAAUAAAGAAAGUUGAAAACCACCUUCUGCUACCUGAAAUCUCUGAGUUUUCACACAAAGAACACCUGAACAUGUCAAACUGGUUCCAUAGUAGAACCCUCAUUGUAAAAACGUCAUAGUAUGGUGUGUUGCUCAAAAAACAUUACCACCCGG
Molecule: long non-coding RNA, 1216 nt
Organism: Amphiprion ocellaris (clown anemonefish)
Lineage: Eukaryota; Metazoa; Chordata; Actinopteri; Pomacentridae
Source: Ensembl